GCGCCGCUAGCUCAACUGGCAGAGCAGCUGACUCUUAAUCAGCGGGUUCGGGGUUCAAGUCCCUGGCGGCGUA
RNAcentral lists this transfer RNA (73 nucleotides) under Candidatus Eiseniibacteriota bacterium. Its description in RNAcentral is "tRNA-Lys". It matches the Rfam family "tRNA". Rfam says of the family: Transfer RNA (tRNA) molecules are approximately 80 nucleotides in length. Lineage: Bacteria; Candidatus Eiseniibacteriota. The record is from RNAcentral.